RNAcentral lists this long non-coding RNA (2938 nucleotides) under Malus domestica (apple). Its description in RNAcentral is "long non-coding RNA (MDOM_LNC005869)". Lineage: Eukaryota; Viridiplantae; Streptophyta; Magnoliopsida; Rosales; Rosaceae. The record is from RNAcentral.
AUUUUCGGCCAAAUCCAAAGGGUGGAUUUUUGGGUUAUUGUUUGACUUGUUAAAAAUGUUUUAAGGUAACUUUUGGAACCUCUAUGUACCCUAGUUUGGUUAUAUGUUAUUUCCCUAAAGUUUGAAUGGUUUUGGAAUGUUUUUGGAGUAAAAAUGUUCAUGGAAAAUUUUUGAGUUUUUCAUGAAUGUUCUUCAUUGUUCUUGACAUUUUUGCCAAGAACAAAAAGUUUUGUGUUUUGAUUCAAAGUUUUGAUUUAUUUCAUAAAGUUUAUGUUUUAUGUUUUUCAAAUGAUUUAAUGUUUUAGAUAUUUGUUUAAAUGGUGUAAGAGAUGUAAGAGAUAUUAUGGUGGGUGUGAAAGGAUUAAUUCCCUUUCACACACACCAGUUGCACCACUUGCAUGCUUUAUGUCUAACUUAGCAAUCAACACACACAUCACUCAUUUCUCCUAUCCAAAACCGGCCCUCCCUCAAGUGGGAGUACUUUUGGGGCUUUUAUGCAAUUACAUAAAGUUUUGAUACUUUUGUGUAUUUGCACUUUGGCCCAAAAGUUUACAUUUUUACGUUUAGGUCCAAAAACGCUAAAGGACAAAUUGUUUUACUCCUUUAAUGAAGUUUUUGCAUUGUUUAAAUUUUGGGUUCUAGUGUAAUUACAUGAAGUAGUGGACUUUUGUGUUCUUACAAAGUGACCCCAAAAGUUUAUGUUUUUUCAAUAUUGCCCAAAGGUUGUGGUAAUUGCAUUUUGGCCCAAAUUAGGUUGAGAACAAAAUUGUUUUGUCUCUUUAAAUGAGAAUUGGAUUUUCAUUUAAUUUAGCUCCAUUUAAAUCAAUUUUAUGGAUACAAAAACCAAAUGAAAUUGUUGCAUUCAAUUUAAUUAGUUAAAGUGUUAAUUAAUUAAAGGGUGAUUAUGAACCUAAGCCUACGAUAAUUAAGCUAUGUGAUAGGCCGUUUCAAAUUUGUUUGAACCAUGAGAAUGUGUAGAUUAGAUUUUGGUUGUAAUUUGAUUUGAUCAAAUGUUGUAAAAGAGCUUAAGCUCUUCUUUACUUUAAUGUAAUUUGUUUUAUGCAAAUGUUGUAAUGAGCAUAAGCUCACCUUUACUUUGAAGUACUUCUUUCUUGCUUUAUUUGAUAUGCAUGAAAAUGAAGUAGUUGGGUCCAACGCCCCUAAGACAACACGCCUUAAUGUGAUUAAACGCGUAACUCAAAUCAAUCACCAUCCCUAGACCGAGAUUCAACACAAGGCUCGUGUUGAAUCUAAACAAAGGUUCAUAGUCAUCCUAAGGCCCUAAGGCAACUAUAUAGUCCAUCAAAUGAAUGCAAAGGUUAUGUUAGUAGUAUCAUAUACUCUUGCUUUAAAAACCAUUUUAUAAGCAUAGUGGGAGUAUUAUAUACAACUAAAAACAAUCAUAUGGACCAAUAGUUGUAAUAGGACCAAAAUUGUUUUAAUAGAGAUUAAAAUGUAUGUUUAUAUGUGAUGAGACCUAAAACCCUCAACCAAACCAUUAUUAAGUUGAUAAGCGUGAGAGUGCUUUGAACACUCUUUCGUGGCCUUCCACCGUGGUAGGCUCCAAUCGUUUAUGACUUGUACACCGCCUUCACCCUAUCAUGGGGGAGUGCAAAGUGCAUGCUUAUACUCAGGAGGAGUCUAUAUACAUACUUGAUGAGGUGAGUGUAGGCAACGAGGAUGGCCGACAUCGUAUCAUCGUGAGGCUAUUCUUGAACCCCUUCAUGAACUAAGCAUGGUGGGAAUGACUUAACUAAGUGCAAUGGAGCCAACAUCAUAUCAUUGUGAGGUGACAUUCUCUAGAGGCCAAAUAAGAUGGGUACUUGCAAAUAUGCAAAUGAGUAAGCGUACUCUCUCAUUAUUAUUAAUGCUAGCCAACAUCAUAUCAUUGUGAGGUGGGCUUGGUAGUAGUGAGUCUCCAAUACCCUACUAAGAGUUUCAUCCAAAACUCUCGAAUUCCAAUGAGGGAUAUGGAAUUUUCCAAAAAUAGUGGGUGGUGCUAUUUGAUUUAAAGACCCGAAUCAAAUGGCUUAAAAUCAAUCAAUUUAUAUUCGUUAUGUAUUUGUUUACCAAUAUAUUUGCAAACGCUAUCCAACACUUGACAAAUAAAAACCGAAAGUUUAGUUUCCGUACUUGGUACUACAAAACCAUAGACUGUCUUUAAUGGCUUGUAAAUGUACCUAAGUAGUCUCAUCCUCACAAUCUUCCUAUUGAUAAUGUAUCAUUGGAAGAACAUGUUAGAUAAGGUCUAUCAUAAAGAGGACAACACUUUUAAUGUCAUAAUUCUUCAAAUACAAUUUGUUGUAUGAAGAAAUAGGAGUUGCUUUGAACAACUCUUAGUCAAUGCAAACACUUAGUGCUUGUUUCUUUGUUAUAUGAACAAAGAACUUGAGAAGAAAGCACAAAGGCAUGGACACUUAAUGUGCCAUGAUUCUUCACUUACAAUUUGUUGUAUGAAGAAAUAAGAGUUGCCUUGUACAACUCUUGAAAGUUUGUAAUUAUGUUUAGAACAUAAUGGUUGGUUGACAAAAAUAGUCCAUUAACAUGGACUUAUGAUGAUUUUGAAUCAUUGAGUGUUGAAGUGAUAAACCACUUAACGAGAUGGAAACUAGGCAAGGACUUCACCUAUGUGUCCCUAUCCUAAUGGUUCACUAAGUUUAUUGUAAACUAUGUAGUGAACAAUAACCACAUACUCUCCAAAAUGUUUGAUGUGUAUAACACAAUUGAAAUAAGUUCAAGAGAGAUAGUGGGAGUUUAGGGACCAUGACUAUUGUAGUCAAAGGAGAAGUCAAAUGAAGAAGAUAAAAUUAACUCCAAGGGAACAAACUUUCUUUAUGAAAGGAUGGACAUUGGAAGGGGUAUAUGCAAGAAAUGUCUUGCAAGUGUCAAGAACACACCUUUCGAAGGUGUUGUAAAUUGUUCUUGAAUAGUUCAAAAC